Molecule: ribosomal RNA, 672 nt
Filed under: uncultured Pseudomonadota bacterium
Lineage: Bacteria; Pseudomonadati; Pseudomonadota
Description: bacterial SSU rRNA
Rfam family: Bacterial small subunit ribosomal RNA
Source: RNAcentral
CCUAACACAUGCAAGUCGAGCGGAUGACGGGAGCUUGCUCCUUGAUUCAGCGGCGGACGGGUGAGUAAUGCCUAGGAAUCUGCCUGGUAGUGGGGGACAACGUUUCGAAAGGAACGCUAAUACCGCAUACGUCCUACGGGAGAAAGCAGGGGACCUUCGGGCCUUGCGCUAUCAGAUGAGCCUAGGUCGGAUUAGCUAGUUGGUGGGGUAAUGGCUCACCAAGGCGACGAUCCGUAACUGGUCUGAGAGGAUGAUCAGUCACACUGGAACUGAGACACGGUCCAGACUCCUACGGGAGGCAGCAGUGGGGAAUAUUGGACAAUGGGCGAAAGCCUGAUCCAGCCAUGCCGCGUGUGUGAAGAAGGUCUUCGGAUUGUAAAGCACUUUAAGUUGGGAGGAAGGGCAGUAAGUUAAUACCUUGCUGUUUUGACGUUACCGACAGAAUAAGCACCGGCUAACUCUGUGCCAGCAGCCGCGGUAAUACAGAGGGUGCAAGCGUUAAUCGGAAUUACUGGGCGUAAAACGCGCGUAGGUGGUUUGUUAAGUUGGAUGUGAAAGCCCCGGGCUCAACCUGGGAACUGCAUCCAAAACUGGCAAGCUAGAGUACGGUAGAGGGUGGUGGAAUUUCCUGUGUAGCGGCGAAAUGCGUAGAUAUAGGAAGGAACACCAGUG